AGUGGGGAAUCUUGGACAAUGGGCGCAAGCCUGAUCCAGCCAUGCCGCGUGAGUGAUGAAGGCCUUAGGGUUGUAAAGCUCUUUCGGCGGGGACGAUAAUGACGGUACCCGCAGAAGAAGCCCCGGCUAACUUCGUGCCAGCAGCCGCGGUAAUACGAAGGGGGCUAGCGUUGUUCGGAAUUACUGGGCGUAAAGCGCACGUAGGCGGAUGUCUAAGUCGGGGGUGAAAGCCUUGGGCUCAACCCAAGAAUUGCCUUCGAUACUGGACAUCUCGAGACCGGGAGAGGUGAGUGGAAUUCCGAGUGUAGAGGUGAAAUUCGUAGAUAUUCGGAAGAACACCAGUGGCGAAGGCGGCUCACUGGCCCGGUUCUGACGCUGAGGUGCGAAAGCGUGGGGAGCAAA
Molecule: ribosomal RNA, 402 nt
Filed under: uncultured Bauldia sp.
Lineage: Bacteria; Pseudomonadati; Pseudomonadota; Alphaproteobacteria; Hyphomicrobiales; Kaistiaceae
Description: bacterial SSU rRNA
Rfam family: Bacterial small subunit ribosomal RNA
Source: RNAcentral